This is a long non-coding RNA of Sinocyclocheilus anshuiensis, 100 nucleotides long. RefSeq lists it as uncharacterized. The record is from RefSeq and is a predicted model, not a curated record. The transcript has 3 exons. NCBI's taxonomy places the organism in Eukaryota, Metazoa, Chordata, Actinopteri, Cypriniformes, Cyprinidae.
UUGCAAUUGUUCAAUUUAAUAAUAAUAAUAAUCUAAUAAUUGUUAAUUUAUGAUACACUUUGUUUGUAGCUUGUACCUGCAAUUUAAAUUACGUAUUGUG